This is a non-coding RNA of Acanthosepion pharaonis, 113 nucleotides long. Lineage: Eukaryota; Metazoa; Mollusca; Cephalopoda; Sepiida; Sepiidae. The record is from the annotation of a GenBank genome assembly.
UAUGACCAUAUCAUAUUGAAACACUGGUUUCCGUAUGAUCACUGAAGUUAAGUAAUGUUGACCCUGGUCAGUACCUAGAUGGGUGACCAUGUGGGAAUACCAGGUGCUGUAAG